Molecule: unclassified non-coding RNA, 217 nt
Filed under: Hevea brasiliensis (rubber tree)
Lineage: Eukaryota; Viridiplantae; Streptophyta; Magnoliopsida; Malpighiales; Euphorbiaceae
Source: RNAcentral
GUGACAUGUGUGCUAGGCAUACAUCACGUGUCUCGAACACACUGAGGAGCCAAAUUUAGUAUUUAAGUUGAGAAGGAUAGAAGGACGGGCCAGUAAUCGACCAAGUUUCAGAGCUGGAGACAGUGGAUUUCUCAGUUAUCAUAAAGAAAAGAUGUCCUCAUUUAUCAGCCUUAGGCUUUGGUUCAACGGUUAAGAUAGUACAACGCGAGUUUUGUAG